UUAUAAAUCUUAUGCUCAACUAAUC
This 25-nucleotide unclassified non-coding RNA is filed under the name Mus musculus (house mouse). Its description in RNAcentral is "oocyte_clustered_small_RNA7916". The record is from RNAcentral. Lineage: Eukaryota; Metazoa; Chordata; Mammalia; Rodentia; Muridae.